CCUACGGGAGGCAGCCGUGGGGAAUAUUGGGCAAUGUGCGCAAGCCUGACCCAGCAACGCCGCGUGAAGGAAGAAGUCUUUCGGGUUGUAAACUUCUAUUAAGCGGGAAGAGCAGAAGACGGUACCUCUUGAAUAAGCCACCGCUAACUAUUUUCCAGCCGCCGAUGUAAUACGUAGGUGACAAGCGUUGUCCGGGUUUACUGGGUGUAAAGGGCGUGUAGCCGGGCUGACAAGUCAGAUGUGAAAUCCGGGGGCUCAACCCCCGAACUGCAUUUGACACUGUUGGGCUUGAGUGUCGGAGAGGCAGGCGGAAUUCCUAGUGUAGCGGUGAAAUGCGUAGAUAUUAGGAGGAACACCAGUGGCGAAGGCGGCCUGCUGGACGACAACUGACGGUGAGGCGCGAAAGCGUGGGGAGCAAACAGGAUUAGAUACCCCAGUAGUC
RNAcentral lists this ribosomal RNA (442 nucleotides) under uncultured bacterium. RNAcentral describes it as "partial 16S ribosomal RNA". It matches the Rfam family "Bacterial small subunit ribosomal RNA", at positions 338 to 795 of the family's 1533-position model. The record is from RNAcentral.